Molecule: non-coding RNA, 122 nt
Organism: Camelina sativa (false flax)
Lineage: Eukaryota; Viridiplantae; Streptophyta; Magnoliopsida; Brassicales; Brassicaceae
Source: RefSeq, a predicted model, not a curated record
UCUAAUAUCUUUCGCCAAAACUUUUGGAGCCACUCGUUUGAUGGAUGCAUGUUUGAAAUUCAUCGACUUGUGGAAGAAAAAGCAUGAAACUGGCCAGUGGGUUGAAAUUGAAGCAACAGAAG